This is a long non-coding RNA of Alosa sapidissima (American shad), 108 nucleotides long. RefSeq lists it as uncharacterized. Lineage: Eukaryota; Metazoa; Chordata; Actinopteri; Clupeiformes; Clupeidae. The transcript has 3 exons. The record is from RefSeq and is a predicted model, not a curated record.
AGGCCGAUACCCCUGCGACAUUAUUAUAUGGGAGGAUUCCAUGCUGAUCUGAAACCGACAUCGGGCAGAUGUAUGUGUGCUGUCUGGGAAGGGGUUCACAUGCAGUAU